GGGCUGGUAGUUAAACCUGGUAUAAUGCGCCCUUGGCUAGGGUGAGGCUCCGGGUUCAAAUAGACGCAAGCGGGCAAAGCUUGCGCUUUGCAAGUCCCGGCCAGUCCA
Molecule: transfer RNA, 108 nt
Filed under: Candidatus Woesearchaeota archaeon
Lineage: Archaea; Nanobdellati; Candidatus Woesearchaeota
Description: tRNA-Ala
Source: RNAcentral